This 253-nucleotide ribosomal RNA is filed under the name uncultured bacterium. Its description in RNAcentral is "partial 16S ribosomal RNA". It matches the Rfam family "Bacterial small subunit ribosomal RNA", at positions 524 to 776 of the family's 1533-position model. The record is from RNAcentral.
UACGUAGGGUGCGAGCGUUAAUCGGAAUUACUGGGCGUAAAGCGUGCGCAGGCGGUUGUGUAAGACAGGUGUGAAAUCCCCGGGCUUAACCUGGGAACUGCGCUUGUGACUGCACGGCUAGAGUACGGCAGAGGGGGAUGGAAUUCCGCGUGUAGCAGUGAAAUGCGUAGAUAUGCGGAGGAACACCGAUGGCGAAGGCAAUCCCCUGGGCCUGCACUGACGCUCAUGCACGAAAGCGUGGGGAGCAAACAGG